CAAAUAAGAAUUGUCAGUGUCAAACCAGUCUUGAAUCAUGAAAAGUGCGAACGUUUGUUUGAGCACGUCCUACGGUUUCGUCUUCGGUGAAUUUAACUCUACUUUCACCACUGUGUGAAUACUCAUUAGUAUCAUUCUUAAAUGUGCUGUGAUAGAACACGGUCGUCUACUUAAAUUUACUUAUUAGAAAUACUCAUGCCAUGGCGAAAGUCGCUACCGAAAUGGCAUACAAAAAUUAUUGUGUAGUGUUUAUAAUUUUCGCUCUAGUGAUAGUUCAAGCGGUGGGUUACGACACCGAGUUGUAUGAAACAAAGCCUUGCGACAGCAAUGCAUGCUUUGACGAGCUCCACGGGUCUUUAGGCGACUGUUCGUGUAAUGUUGACACCAUCGAUUACUUCAAUAACGUGAAGGUCUACCCGCGCCUUCAGAGUCUAGUGAGAAAAGACUACUUUCGCUUCUACAAAGUGAAUUUGAAAAAAGAAUGUCCAUUCUGGGCCGAUGACAGUAAGUGUGCUAUGAGGUACUGUCAUAUUAAAACCUGUUCCAAGGAGAGUGUGCCUGGAUACGAGAAUGGCUACGAGAACGAUCACUUAGAUGAAACGCCAGUGACUAAGUACACGAAGGAGGCGCAGGGUAACUGUGCUACUGAUGCAGAUCAUGACCAUGACCUAGGCUACUUGAAUAUGACCAUCAGUGCUGCUAGUCAACAUGAAAUCGCCAAAUGGAAGGCCCAUGACGAUGCUCUGGAGAACUUCUGUGGCUAUGACGAUAAGGAUGUUGAUGCAGAGUAUGUGGACUUGUUGUUGAACCCUGAGAGAUUCACUGGCUACAAGGGACCCUCAGCUAAUAGAAUCUGGAAGAGCAUAUAUCAGGAAAAUUGUUUCCGGCCAAAGCCUAACCCAUACAGUUCAUUCCCAUUUGUCAUGACAUCAGAUUUAGGGAACAUGUGCUUAGAGAAGAGAGUUUUCUAUAGAGCUGUGUCUGGUCUACACACCAGUAUAAAUGUUCACCUCUGUUCUAAAUACUUGCUCUUUGAAAAGGGAGCUGGUUUCACUACUGAUGGAGAAUGGGGACCAAAUCUUGAAGAGUUCCAACGCCGUUUUGAUCCCUCACAGACCUUUGGAGAAGGUCCCAAUUGGCUGAAGAAUUUGUAUUUUGUUUAUUUGUUGGAGAUGAGAGCUUUAGCCAAAGCUGGGCCAUAUUUAGAGAAGGAAGAAUAUUACACUGGCAACCCUACUGAGGAUGAGGAGACAAGACAGGCAAUUCAUAACUUACUGAGUGUAAUUUACUCCUUCCCCGACCACUUUAAUGAGUCUUCAAUGUUUAACGGAGGAAGUCAAGCAGCUAAAUUGAAGGUUGAGUUCAGAGAGCAUUUCCGUAACAUCUCAAGAAUAAUGGAUUGCGUUGGGUGCGACAAGUGCAAGUUGUGGGGCAAGCUGCAGACACAGGGUCUUGGUACUGCAUUGAAGAUAUUGUUCUCUAGUAAGUGGAACAGUCCUGAACCUGAUCCAAACCAGGGCAAACUGCCUGUCAGACAUAAGUCCCAUGAGAGACUGCAGAGGACGGAGGUUGUUGCACUGUUUAAUGCAUUUUCCAGACUCUCCGAGAGUAUACGGCAAUUGGAGCAGUUCCGAAUAAUGCUAAGCUCGCAAAGAGAAGGAGAAAAAAAACAACCGUUAUUUGGGAGCAUCCGGGAUAUGAAGUGAGAAGAAUAGACGUAUAGUUCUAGAAUAAUUUUAUUGGCGUUAUCGGGACUUAGAAUAAUUCAAUGUUCCUUCAGGUCACUCUGUUUUGCGUUAGGGACUUAAUUUAUUGUGGGUAAAAGGACAGGAGGAUAGCCCUACUUGAUUUAAAAGUACGGGAUUUUUAAGUAUAGUAUUUAUUUAGAAUAGUCUAUCCUGACUUUAAACGGAGUGUAGACUGCUUUAUAUUUUUGUUUUUACUUUUUCUAAAGAACUUUCUUACAGCUCCCCUUGUAUCAGAAGUAAGACAAAUUCAGAGGCAGACUUCCUAAUACUCUUUUAAACUGAAAUUAUUAAACUAUUGUUAUACUCAUUGUUAUUGAAAUUGUAAGCAUUCGACUAUUUUUCAUCAUUUUUUGUUAUAACCUCUAUUUUAUCCUUAUUGUUAAAUGUUAGUAACUUCCUUAUAACGUCAACUUAUUUUAAAUUCAUCACAAGACUUAAAUAUUUAUUGAAAAACCCAGUGAAGUGUUGAGCUUAAUAAUUUUUAUGUAGGGCAAAGCUGAGCGUCGUUGGGUAUCGAUUUCAAAUCCCAGUCGUGUUGAUAAUUACGGAGUAAUUGUGGAAAGCUAUUAUUAUUAAUGUCAGUCUACGUUCAUGUUAGUUAUUAAUUGUAAUGGAUAUGACUGACACGCCACUUUUAUUGUUAUAAGGCAGACAGUACUUACCCCCUAAAAUACCUAACCUAAUUAAUCUUAAAUUGAGCAAAACGAUCAGCCAUAGGAGGUCCACUGCUGAACAUAGGCCCCUAUGGCUGAUAUGAUGAUAAUGAUGAUAACGAUCAAUUUCUGAUUUAGUGCCUGAACAAUAAACACAAUGCUACAAUUUUUUACAUUCUGACGUUUGAAAUAACGAAUGAACAACACAAGAACAAUAUAGGUCUUCCAAAAUUAAAAUUCUAAAUUUCUUUUGUUUUUUUUUAUUUUUGCUUUGACCUUGAGACGUUCAGCCUUGCCCUUUAUUUUGUGUCGUGUUUAGACUAAGGUUAAUUGAUAAGUAAUUAGUUAAAACAGAAAAACAAGGCAUUUGAACACUAAUGAAUUGACGUUUCCGUUCUUGUGCCUAUAUUACAAUAUUUGGAUGACUAGAUUUAAUUAUCUGUAAUAAAAUCGUGUUAAGAAAAAGUUGAAGUGAAAAAAAUCUGUGUAAUUAAAAAAAUAUGUAUUCGAUAUUCGAUUGUCGAUACUUUUGCCAAAUUGUAUUACACCAGUUUCGAUGGAUUCAUAUAUCCCACAUAAUUGGAAUUGAAUUUGUCUAUAUUGUAAAUUUUUUAUGUAAAUAAUGAAGAAUUUCUAAAAAGUUACACGUGUCUACGUUUAAUUGAAAUUGGCUUAAAAGAUCCAUAAUAUUUAUUUUCUCUAGUCAUAUUUGAGCAAUAACAGCGUGCAAUAGCCUAUGCCCUCCAUUUUAGCCAUUUUAACGUUUAUUUUAACUUCAAACGACUAAAACGAAAACUACAGUUUUAUUGGUUUCUAUAAAUUUUAUAGCCUAGAUGCUAAAAUUUUUACUUACUGCUAUUUUCGUUAUCAUUUCUUAUAUUUACUUAGUGAUCUAUACAGCAAUACACAUAAUGAAAGUCUUGUAUUAUCUGUGCAGUUUGGGCUCUUGGAAAGGCGGCAAAAUUGUAACCAAACUAUAGGCGAGUUUGUCUUGCGUUAGAUACAGAUAAAAUAAAAUCUUAAAACAGAAUUAGAUGAUAGGUUUUUUUUUGAGAGGCAUAAAGAAAUUGAAGUUUGAAAUGUAUUUAUUUAAAACAGUCUGUAUUCUAACAUUGUUUGGACACAUUUAAUUCAAGGUUGAUAACAUUGAUACAAUCUCAAUUGUAAUUGGCCGUUGUCCAAAAAACUAAAUUAACCAAAAGUCAUUGUAGUUUUGUAUCGGUAAAAUAGAACAAGCGAUCUACAUGCAAAAUUGUAUACUAUAGAUUUAUAGAUAGCAAGUUUUCUUUGUUUUUUGCAAUGAAUUUUGCUGUGUGUAAAUGUUAAAUAUCUUGAGAGUCACCUAUUACAAACAUAACAUGUUUAAUUGUCUUGUGUGCAAUGUCUUUGUUCUUUAAAACAGUUUAAAAUAAUGUAGAAUACCUACAAGUCAAUUUAGUCACAAACGAUGAUGAUACACUGAUAAGUAUUACUAGCUGUAAUAAAUAAAUAUUUAACAUGUUAUGGCAACACUUCAAUAAUUUAGCUCCUUUCGCAGUUAUUUGUGAUCGCUCCUUUACACACAUAAAUUAAUUAAUUUGUGUAAUAAAAUGAUGUAACUAUUUAUUGUCUUUUUUGUUUCUAUUAAUGUGUGCUCAAUUCUAUAAUGUAUUAAUUUGUCCGUGACGUACAAGAGCUGUAAAGAAUUGGCCAUUUUAUUUUUUGAUUUUGUUUAUUAAUAUUUGUAAUGUAAUUAUAAUUUUGUAAUAGGCAUCUAUAAUUUUUAUAUAUAAUAUAUUGUUUUUGUUCAUUGUAUUGCUAUGAAUUGUUUGUUAAAUUUCCGUUUCAAUGAUUGUAAAACUAUGAUGAGAAUUAUUUAUUUUCACUCAUUUCCAGCUUUUACUCACUAUACGAAGCAGUUGUACCGAAAUAUUUAAUUUACAAUCAAUUUCGCUAAAACUAUCCAGUGAAAUUGGCUUCGUAAACGACUUUUGAGCCAUUUGCAUUCCAUGUACUGAUUGUUACGAUUAAUUAAUCCUUAUCGGUACAAUAAAAUCGACGCUCCGUUCGAGUUACGAUCGUAACGUUUUAUUGAUUGCUUUAUGCAAAAACAAAUAUAAAAUAGCGUAAUGUAUUAGUAUAAACGUCUGUGAUUUUUUAGAUUCAAAUAUCAUGACAAUUUCAUUUUUAUUUAAUUUAAUUUUGAAUUAAAUGUAUUAUCUUUU
Spodoptera litura is the source of this 4605-nucleotide non-coding RNA. Lineage: Eukaryota; Metazoa; Arthropoda; Insecta; Lepidoptera; Noctuidae. The record is from RefSeq and is a predicted model, not a curated record.